This 526-nucleotide ribosomal RNA is filed under the name bacterium enrichment culture clone WG_233. Its description in RNAcentral is "bacterial SSU rRNA". It matches the Rfam family "Bacterial small subunit ribosomal RNA", at positions 66 to 563 of the family's 1533-position model. The record is from RNAcentral.
ACGCUUCUUUUUCCACCGGAGCUUGCUCCACCGGAAAAAGAGGAGUGGCGAACGGGUGAGUAACACGUGGGUAACCUGCCCAUCAGAAGGGGAUAACACUUGGAAACAGGUGCUAAUACCGUAUAACAAUCGAAACCGCAUGGUUUUGAUUUGAAAGGCGCUUUCGGGUGUCGCUGAUGGAUGGACCCGCGGUGCAUUAGCUAGUUGGUGAGGUAACGGCUCACCAAGGCCACGAUGCAUAGCCGACCUGAGAGGGUGAUCGGCCACAUUGGGACUGAGACACGGCCCAAACUCCUACGGGAGGCAGCAGUAGGGAAUCUUCGGCAAUGGACGAAAGUCUGACCGAGCAACGCCGCGUGAGUGAAGAAGGUUUUCGGAUCGUAAAACUCUGUUGUUAGAGAAGAACAAGGAUGAGAGUAACUGUUCAUCCCUUGACGGUAUCUAACCAGAAAGCCACGGCUAACUACGUGCCAGCAGCCGCGGUAAUACGUAGGUGGCAAGCGUUGUCCGGAUUUAUUGGGCGUAA